CUCAAAAUAUAAUUUAUUAUAAUUGUUAGUUCGAGAUUUCUAAAUUAUUGUAAUUAAGUCUUACAGUCAAUUUAAUUGGCUAAAUACUGACAAAUUAUUGAUUAUUGAUUAUUGAUUAUUGAUGCAGAUGCGAUAUAGUAUUUUAAUUAUUAUUGCAUUAUCAAUUAUAAUACUUUUAUAUUAAUUCUAUAUCAGCAAUUUAUCAAUAUUUAGCGAACAAAAUUUAGUAGUGAGAUUUGAUCGCAGCAAUUCAAAAAGCUUGAGUCAGAAAUUACAAUAAAUUAAAAAUUGAGGCCUAAAGUGUCACGGCUUUCAUAGUUUGGGGACCAAAAGUAUAAUUUAC
This 343-nucleotide long non-coding RNA is filed under the name Ananas comosus (pineapple). Its description in RNAcentral is "long non-coding RNA (ACOM_LNC021823)". Lineage: Eukaryota; Viridiplantae; Streptophyta; Magnoliopsida; Poales; Bromeliaceae. The record is from RNAcentral.